AUGAACAUUUCCAAUGGCCAGUUGUGCUCUCUUGCAGGGAUAUGCUUGACUUUGUUUGCCACUGGAUAUAACACAAAUCAUUAUGAGUACACAAGGGGUCAUCCGUACUAUGGACUAUUUUAUCUCAGUGGCCUGGAGUGGUGCAACAAUGAGAGGCAUCUCUCAAAGAACCUGUGCAAAAUUCACUGCGAAAAAUUUCUAGAUGAUGAUAUCAGAGAUGACAUUGCAUGUGCAAAGAAAGUUGCUGCCAGCAAGGAUGGAAUGCUGUCUUGGAAACCUUUUCGAGAUUACUGCAGACACCCUAUGCCUGAAGUAGUGUACUGGGAAUGUAAGACAGACUGAAAUAAAGUAGUCAAUGUAAUAUUAUGCUUGGCUAUUCUACCCAAUCAGAAUUGUUUGUGUGACCUGCCAAAUCUCAUCCUGCUUUUUGUUGUUAUUUGUAUUAAGCUGACUUUGAAUUAUACUGAUUCUAUAAACAAGAGGCCUCCAAAUGCACCAGUCAUCAACUGUCCUAGUUAGGUCUUCCAGGCUGCUUAUGAAGAAGGAAAAUGUAUUAAUUGAUGAUAUUUUGAUCUUUGAAAUAAAUCAUUUAAAUAAAUCAUUAAAGCUGCAAUUUCUGGAGAAAUUUUCAGGAGAUAUUAACUUGUCUGGGAAUGUAUAUCAACUGGACCCCUUGAUGCAGCAGGGAAAUCUGUUCCAAAGAAUAACUAGCAAUUCACACUUGCCUCAAACAGACAAGAGUUAUUGAAAUGUAGAUAUGCAAAUUUCUAUUGCAUUACCUGCACAGAAAAUAUUCCUUCUUUUUUUAAAUAUACUGUAACUCCCUUGAUACAUCCCAAUAAAAAUAUGAGAUAAAAGGGGAAACACAAAUUGCAUACUUUUGUUGUUGUUUAUUCAUUCAGUUGCUUCCAACUCUUCAUGACCUCACAAACCAGCCCACGCCAGAGCUUCCUGUCGGCCGUGGCCACCCCAGCUCCUUCAAGGUCAAGCCAGUCACUUCAAGGAUACCAUCCAUCCAUCUUGUCCUUGGUCGGCCUCUCUUCCUUUUUCCUUCCAUUUUCCCCAGAAUCAUUCUCUUCUCCAAGCUUUCCUGUCUUCUCAUGAUGUGGCCAAAGUAUUUCAUCUUCGCCUCUAAUAUCCUUCCCUCCAGUGAGCAGCCAGGCAUUAUUUCCGGGAGGAUGGACUGGUUGGAUCUUCUCGCUGUCCAAGGCACUCUUAGAAUUUUCCUCCAACACCACAGUUCAAAAGUGUCUAUCUUCCUUUGCUCAGCCUUCCUUAUGGUCCAGCUACUUGAUACCAAAUUGGCUUGUGGGGUGGGGUGUCUUUUUGGGUGUUAUUGCUCAAAAAGGUAAUUGUUCCAUGCUCUAUUUACAACUUACCACAUUCCCACUUUGGAGAAAAUAAAACAUAGUUAGGAGUACUUUUCUGAAGUAGAAAUACAUUGCCUCAGAUCUGAGAAUUAUUAGUUGCUUUCAGUUCCCAUUGAAAUCAGUGGGAACAUACACUAAUACCUAUCUCAGGAACCCUUCUACUCUGUCAUAUAAAAUCCAGAUUAUCUGCUUUGAACUGGAUUAUGUGGCAGUGUAGACUAUCUACACUGUAGAUUAUCUACUUUGAUACUCUGGAUUAUAUGGCAGUGUAGAAGGGGCCUCAGAUCUUACAGGUGACAUUCCAGAACAAUGAGGCACAACCCUAUGGCCAGUUCUCAGGUUAAAGCAGAACUGUUUCAAUGAAGAAUUCAAAAAGUAGCUCUACAUUCUAUCAAACCAAAUUAUUAGUAGAGGGCAUUCACUGUAUGUGGUAUCCAAGAGAUUUGUAGAGGGAGCUGGUAGAUUCCAUUCAGAAUGGUUACAAAAUCAGCACAGACCACAGCCUCAUCGUUUUUACUGCUCUCUUACAUUCAAUCACAUUUUUAAAACAUUCAGGGAUUCAUUAAAAAAAAAAACAUUGGUUUGUAGUGUGUAAGGAAAAGCCAUUGAUCUCCUUUAAAAGAACAAGAAACAUCCUUUUUCUGCCAAAGCAAUUCGGCUCAUAACUAGAGAUGGGAAUUCUGAACUUUCUCUGGGUCCUUUCACAUUGCACAGUUAGAGCACUAUCAUUCCACUUUAACUGCAAUGGCUGCCUCAUAUAAAAUGCUGGAGUUCGUGGCUUGGUCAUAGGCACUAGGCACCAAUUGUGUAUUUAUAUGUAUAUUUUUAUCAAUGUUUAAUGUAUUUAAUUUUAAGUGAUUAUCAAUGUUUAAUGUAUUUAAUUUUAAGUGAUUGAAUUGUCAGUAAUAUUUUUAUAUUGUGUUUUAUUGUAAGCCGCCCUGAGUUCCCUAUGGGUGAGAAGGGCGGGAUAUAAAUACUGUAAUAAAUAAAUAAAAUAAUAGAAUGAUCUGGCUGGGAAUUCGCAAUGUCCCUUCUUCAGACUGCAAUUCCCAGGAUCCUAUAUGAUGUUGCUAUGUUCAAGGGGAAUCAUAAUGCGAAUAUUGUGUAGUCUGAAAGGGCUCCCAAUCUGGUUUGACUUGAUCUGAUGCAGUACUUCAGUAUAAUCUAUGGCAGAGGUGAUUUGCUAUCUCAUCCUACUCACAAUGCCUGGCUUCUUAGCACUGGGCAGUUGGAGUUAUAGUUGGCUAUAUGUAGAGCUGCAUAUGCUGAUUCUGGCCAUGAAAGUGUAGUGUAGCAAAGAUAGGGACAAGUGUGAUCGCCAGAAUGCUUGAACUACUCCGUGGUUGGGUUGUAUGGAAGAAGAUAUUUCAACCUUAUACCAAAGCAAGAAUACCAAAACAGCCGCCUUGAGUCGCCUCUGGGGUUAUUUUAUUUAUUAUUUACUUUAUUUCUACCCCGCCUUUCUCUACCCCGAAGGGGACUCAAGGCUACUUACAUAUGACAACCAUUAGAUACCUUAAAAUAUAUACAAGCAGAUACUUAAAAUCAAUUAAAUUUAAAAUUAAUACAUAUUAAACAUUUAAAGCAUUACAUUCAAUAUUAAAAUAUUGAAUAUUAAAAUAUUAAAUUUGAGAAAGGCAGGGUAUCAAUGUUGUAAAUAAAUAGAAUCUCAGGGAGCUUUUCACUCAAAAUAUGUAUUUUCCUUU
This is a long non-coding RNA of Anolis carolinensis (green anole), 3076 nucleotides long. Lineage: Eukaryota; Metazoa; Chordata; Lepidosauria; Squamata; Anolidae. The record is from Ensembl.